AGAAAUUGUAACGCUGCUUUUCCGCCCAGCAGCCAAUAAAAUGUGUCUCGUUAGGAAAGAGAAACCAGACUUCAUAUCAAUCGAAAAGCUUCUUCUUUCUAUUGCAAACUUUUUUCCACAUCGUUGGAGCCGGGCAGCAGCUCGUCAAUUUCAUUCAAUUCGGGAGUCAUUGGGAUUUGCGUUCACGCGGGACACACACACAAGAUCGCAGGAGGCGGUUUGGUUUCUAUUCCUUUCCCUGAGAUGGGUGGGCGCCGGGGAGGUGGUGCUUCAGCCGGCCGAUGCACCGUCGUCGCUGGUUGUUGCUGGCUGGCUGGUGGCUGGCUGUGUACAGUCACAACGGGAGUGAGAGAGCGUGAGCAGCGGCGUGUGUAGUAUAUAGCGGGAGAUUUCCACCCAGUUGUGCUUCAGUUGGCUGUUCUCUGUUUUUCGUGCUACUCGCAUCCACGCUGGCCGGCCCUCCGUUUCGCUAUAUAAGUUCCCCAUCCCCUCCCCUACCCCCCUCUUUUUUUUGUGUUGGGGGUCCGGGCAGUCGUCCAGUUUGUGCCAGAACAAAUAAAAUCACCCACGCGAGAGAGUCUCUUCAUUCGUAUAUAUAACUGCCGCUUGAUAUUAGCGUCGGACUACAUCACCCAAAGUUCUACUCUCGUUUAAAACAAAAACUAAAAUAGUUAAAAGUUUCUGCGCUUUGAUUUCCUUUAAUAGUAUCCCGUGCGGAGUGGCCCGUCGUCGCGAGGUGGUGGGUGACAUUGUGUGCGUGAACUCUUUUCUUGUUUCAUUAUUUCCGCUCCCGAUUGUUAUAACAUUUUGUUUGUUCGCGGCGAGAAUUGAGAAAGUCCCAAACAGCUCACUGGAGAAGGGGCGGUGGGCAGGUCCGGCCCCAAAACAAAUGGCCAGUUGAGGUGCUGCUGCAUUGUCGAGAGUAUAGGAUGUGCGGGGGAUGUUGUUGGCGGAGAAGAAGCGGCCUCGGCCAGCAGUAAGGAGGACACCAAUCUAACGGCCAAUGAAAUGGGCCCCGCCGAUGUCCCGCGUCAUCCCGUCGUUCCCGUCUAGGAGCUUCUCUUCGCUGUCGUUCCACUUGAAAAGAAAGAAGGAAAAAAGGAGGAUCAGCAGCAGCAGCAGUCAUUUGGCAAUCAACGACCUUUUGUGAUUUUUAUUCGAUAUUAUUAUUAUACCGGCGCGUAGUGUACAGAGAAAACGACGUUGACACAACCCAGCACACAUCAGGCCCGGCCAAUGUGAACACCGUCCAUUUCCUAUAGACGAGAGACUCUCGCACAGCACACAAAAUCCUAUCCUUUUCAUCAGCGGGGGGAAUAUCUAUCCAUCUCUAUCUAUAAAUGUCUAUUCCUCCUCUCAUACAUAUCGACGCCGUCCUCGAAACGUAAAACGACGCCGAAUGAAAUAAAAAAAAAGAAGAAGAAGAAGAAAAAAAAAACCACACGUUCGUGAAACCUGAGCGCGCACCCAUACCGUGCGUGCCUAUAACAUAACCCGACCGACACUGCUGGAUGCUAAUGUGAUGGCAUAGCCUUCUCCCUUCAAAAGUGCAUCUAGCGCCAUAUUAUAUCCCGGCUGCAGCUUUUUUGAUAGUUAUUUCCUCCUUUUUCUUUUUCGUUUUAAAUUUCCUGCCGUGUGUAGGAAGAUCCCGCUUGGCGUGGAGAGUGGGCGGAGUGUUUGACAGUUGAUGGACGACACCUUAUUCCAUUUCUACAAACGGUGGGAAAAUAAAAGAAGAAGAACAUUAGAAACAUACAUACCUCUUUUAAACCGAAUAGAAGGGUGAAAAAAGAAAGAAAGAAAUAGCGCAAAAAAUCUCUGUUUGGAAUUGGAGCCAAAAGUGUCACUAAAUAGGAUCACCAUGGAGACGGCGCUGAGGGAUCUGCUGGAGCAGCAGCAACAGUACCAGCAGCCACCGGAGCGCGUGGCGACCGAGACCGCCGUUGACUUUCUAUCGAUCGCCUCAUCGGCGUUUGUGAUUUUGCACAACGAGACGGGCGGCAUUGGAGAAGGCAACACGAGCAGCCUCCUGCUGGCCAACAGCAUCGUCGCCAACGUCAGCGGCGUCCGCCACUUGAAUCGGUCCGUGCAGGUACGUCCAUCAUGCCGGGAGGAGAAAUUAAUUGGGUAACGCCGUACUAUGUAUAUAGGAUCAUCGUUGUCACAUAAAACUUGAUUUACCAUCCACCUUUCUGGGGCUGCAUGCUGCUGCUGGCCAGUUGCGUAUUGCGCUCGUUUCUUUUUUAUCUGGAGAAAACGGACGGGCACUCUUAUUGUUUUUUUUCUGUUCCACCCCUUUGGCCACAACCCACCACCUUAUCGGCAGCUAUAAAUUAGUGGCUGGGUGGUCUAGCGCUUGUCCGCGUUACCUCCGUCCGUCGGGUCGGCCAUUCUGUCACCAGCAAAAGAAGCAACUCGUUGGUCUUUUUCUUUUCUCUUUUCUUCUUUUUUUAUUUUCGGGUUGGGUUGUUGUUGUUGUUGUGAUAUAUGAUUAUCACGGGCAGAGAAACAACGGGACCGGGUAUUACUACAGUAUGUACGUAAAGCACUUUCGGUUGUUUUUCUCACUCCAUCUGCAAUGUAGCCAAUAGUAGCGUAUUUGAUUUCUUGUUGGGCUUCAUUUCCGUGACGGAAAACGCCAAGACUGAUUGGUCGAAUCCUCCGGGGGGGGGGGGGGCAACAUUGCUGGUGCUGGUGGGAGGAGGAGGGUUUCUGUUCGAAACCUCGGGGUCACCAUUGAUAAGCACUUGACUAUGCAUCUGCAGAUCAACAAGACGUGUAGAAGUGCCUUAUUCCACCUGCGCAGGAUUGCAAGAAUUCGAAAAUUCCUCUCACGAUCGGCUGCCGUCCAACUGGUCUCCGCAUUUGUCCUGUCUCACAUUGAUUAUGGGAAUUCUCUUCUCGCCGGACUCCCGUCAUCUCUGUUGGAACCUAUAAAGAAGGUCUUGUAUGCUGCUGCUCGAGUCGUCACUGGAGCCCGACGUCGCGAUGCCAUGACCACUCAUCUGCGGGAGCUUCACUGGCUGCCAGUCCCUUAUCGGGUUGACUUCAAGAUCGCGGUGCUGACGUACCGCUGCCUCAAUCGUUGUGCUCCCUCCUACUUGUCCAGCCUAAUAUCUCGCCGAGAAAGAAAGAUUUUGCCCCCCUCCAGAGACAUCUCGCCCCGUUUUUAUUUUAAACGGUUAAUGGCAGAGAUAUUGGCAAUUGAAAAUCUUGGAAAUUUUUCGUCAUUUUCUGAAGAUUUUCGCCAUUGACAGACGUCACUUCGCCACGCCAUCUAGCGGCCGAUUUUAAAGAAAGCAAGGGAGAUCUAUUCUUCUGGCCAUUAAUUUUUGAUUGUGUAAAGAUUCUGCUAGGCGACAUUGUACGUUCUAGGGAAACUUGUUGAUGAAACAAGCCCUCCCCUCGUAAACCGAGACGUGCAGAUGCCAUCAGCAGCCCCCUCGCAUCUGCGAGCGGAGACCACCGCCGGAAUAGCGCAGAUAAAGAUCAGGUGGCCGUAACAGGCGCAGAAUAAGAAGUUCCCCCUCGCUGUGACAAACCUCCCAAGGUUGGGCAGCUAUGUUAACUUUAACUUCCUCCUUUUGUUAAACUAAUAAAAGUAGAGUUAGAAAGUCACUGCCUAGAGUGACCUAGAAAAACAAGUGCGCGCAUUGACCCCUAGUUUCCCACGUAGACGCGCAUAAAAAUAGAUGCCAACCCCCAGCAUCCGACUAGUUAAUAAAUAGGCUGACAAAAUAGAAAACGGGCAGUCUUUUGUCAGUUUCUGUGCCAAGUUGUUGCUGCUGCUCUUCCAGCCGUGGCGUCCCCUCCUCAUCGCGUCCUUCUAGUAGAUCGCCAUUUUUACUCUUCUUCGCCCUCGAGUAAUUUCCACGUCUGUUGACUGUCCAUAACAUCAUGUGUCAAUUAAAGUAAUACAACGAGUUCUCAACUAUUAAUAUUAGUUCUAAUUUUUAUAUAUAUUAGUAUUUCCCUUUAUGCGCAGAGUUUUCCUCUUAUGGGAGAACUCUGACAAUUGAUUGAAUGAUUGAAUGAUUGAGAAAAGAAUGGAAUCGAUGUAAAACUGCUGGGCUUGGUUGACUAUCGAUAGUUGAAGUUCGAAAAAAAAAUUAAUGGCCAGAAGAAUAGUAGAUCUCCCUUGCCUUUUUGAAGUCUGUCAAUGGCGAAAAUCUUCAGAAAAUGUCGAAAAAUUUCCAAGAUUUUCAAUUGCCAAUAUCUCUGCCAAUAACCGUUUAAAAAAAAAAAACGGGGCGAGAUGUCUCUGGAGGGUGGCAAAAUCUUUCAUUCUGAAAAAUUAGAUUUUUUUAAAGGUCCGGUUUGCCCGAAAACUGAUGUCAAAAAUCAGAAAAAAACACUACAAUUUCUGGGGGGGUCCCUUAAUUUUUAAUUAAAUAACUUAAAAAAUAUGCUAGCUAGAACAUUGCGGAUUUUACCAUUGGAUUUUCCGUAAAAUUCUGCACAAAAUGGUUUAUACGGGGACUGACUGCGAUGCCUUCGUCACCCUUUUCCAAAAAUUGUAAACCCCCAAAACCCCCAAUUUUGGCCUGAUUGAGUGGUGGACUCAGUGUUAAAUUGACCAAG
Long non-coding RNA from Daphnia pulex (common water flea), 4581 nucleotides. RefSeq lists it as uncharacterized. The record is from RefSeq and is a predicted model, not a curated record. The transcript is spliced from 2 exons. Lineage: Eukaryota; Metazoa; Arthropoda; Branchiopoda; Diplostraca; Daphniidae.